This is a long non-coding RNA of Suricata suricatta (meerkat), 515 nucleotides long. RefSeq lists it as uncharacterized. NCBI's taxonomy places the organism in Eukaryota, Metazoa, Chordata, Mammalia, Carnivora, Herpestidae. The record is from RefSeq and is a predicted model, not a curated record. The transcript has 3 exons.
UUCCAUAUUGAGAUUGUGAUGUGUGCAAAGAGAACAACUCACACGAGUGCUGGAGUUGGAGAGACGAUCACCAUAUUUAUGAAAAAGUGGUGUCAAAGGGAGCUCGAAGAAGUCAUCUGUGUAAACCUGGCAAAUGCUGGACUAACAGCCCGUAUGCCAAGUCAAAAAUCUGAAGCGAUUUGAAAUGACUGAGAUUUUAAACCUCAAAAAUUACUGUUUAUAAUGGAAACUCAGACAUAAUAGUCCAUGGUGAAGAUUCAGUCACCAUAGUCAGCAGAUCAAAGCCAGAGACGAGGUGACAUACACCUAAGAUAUUCAAACUCUGGCUUGAAGGUCAAUUGGAUCUGCCGACAUAUGUUGCUGAUUUUGUAACAUGAAAGCCAGUUAAAAAGAACAGAUCAGUGAAAUGCAUGUACUCCGUAUUCUUAAUUUCAAUCCUAUCCAAAUGUUUACAGACUAGUUUGAAGAGAUUUACGGUUUCUUGUUAUCAGUCCUAUUAAAGCUUGGCAAGUCUA